This is a ribosomal RNA of Scophthalmus maximus (turbot), 119 nucleotides long. The record is from Ensembl. Lineage: Eukaryota; Metazoa; Chordata; Actinopteri; Pleuronectiformes; Scophthalmidae.
GCUUACGGCCACACCGCCUGGUUCAUGCCCGACCUCGUUUGAUCUCGGAAGCUAAGAUAGGUUGGGCCUGGUUAGUUCUUUGAUAGGAGACCGCCUGGGAAUACCAGGUGCUGUAAGGC